UACAGAGGGUGCAAGCGUUAUUCGGAAUCAUUGGGCUUAAAGGGCGCGUAGGCGGCGGUGUAAGUUGGAAGUGAAAUCCCAUCGGCUCAACCGUGGAAUUGCUCCCAGUACUGCAUCGCUCGAGGGGGAUAGGGGUCUGCGGAACUACCGGUGGAGCGGUGAAAUGUGUUGAUAUCGGUGGGAACGCCAGUGGCGAAAGCGGCAGACUUGACCCUUCCUGACGCUGAGGCGCGAAAGCUAGGGGAGCAAACGGG
RNAcentral lists this ribosomal RNA (254 nucleotides) under uncultured bacterium. RNAcentral's name for it is "partial 16S ribosomal RNA". It matches the Rfam family "Bacterial small subunit ribosomal RNA", at positions 524 to 776 of the family's 1533-position model. The record is from RNAcentral.